GGGGGCGUGGCGGAAUUGGUAGACGCACUGGAUUUAGGUUCCAGCGCCGCAAGGUGUAAGAGUUCGAGUCUCUUCGCCCCCA
This 82-nucleotide transfer RNA is filed under the name Moraxellaceae bacterium. It matches the Rfam family "tRNA". From Rfam's summary of the family: Transfer RNA (tRNA) molecules are approximately 80 nucleotides in length. Their secondary structure includes four short double-helical elements and three loops (D, anti-codon, and T loops). Lineage: Bacteria; Pseudomonadati; Pseudomonadota; Gammaproteobacteria; Moraxellales; Moraxellaceae. The record is from Rfam by way of RNAcentral.